RNAcentral lists this transfer RNA (39 nucleotides) under Pedicia albivitta. Its description in RNAcentral is "partial tRNA-Leu". The record is from RNAcentral. Lineage: Eukaryota; Metazoa; Arthropoda; Insecta; Diptera; Pediciidae.
UUUAAACUCCGUAUAUAAAGGAUUUUCCUUUUAUUAGAA